UCAACUUACAUUUCACAUCUUCCUUCUCUCACAAAUUAGAUCUUUUAGGUUCAAUUGCAGAUUUUAAUUUGUCAUGGUAUCAGAACAGCGAAUCCACAGUUGAUUCACUUAUCAUUGUUGUUGAUCUGCUUCAUGAAAUUCUCUAUUUUUUAUUUGUGAUCUAAAAUUUGGGGGAAAUGGUGGUGAGCACUGAUACGAUCGAAGUAGUUGAGAAAAAUCAAAAUCAUCCUCUGUAUCUUCUGUAAUCUGACACUUCAGGUUCAAUAUUGACUUCAGUUCAUUGGAGAAUCAAUCAUUAUGGAGACGAUCAAUGAUCCUUACUCUUCAAGCUAAAAGCAAAUCUGGAUUUGUCUUUGGUACCUGUAAAAAGAGUGAUUACAGUGCGACAUUAGUAGAACAGUGUGAAAAGUGCAAUGCAUUUGUUUUAUCAUGGAUUCUAAAUCGAUUUCGAAGUAAUUGAUGAGUGGAAUCAUGUACACCAAUGAUGCGGCUACUGUAUGGGCUGACUUAAAAGAGACGUUCGAUAAGGUUGAUAGAUCGAGAGGUUACUAGUUGCAUUGAAAUAUUUGCACUAUCACACAAGGUACUUCCUCUAUUUCUGCAUCUUUCACACGACUAAGACUUCAUUGGGAUGAAGUGGAUGCCCUUGUAGCACCUCCUUCGUGUGGAUGUGAUAAAUCCAUAGUGUAUGCAAGUCACUUGCAAUAUAUGAAAUUGUCUGCAUUUCUGAUGGAACUCAUUGAGUCAUACACUCAAGCACGUAGUCAGAUCCUUAUUAUAAUUCCAUUUCCCUUUGUGAACAAAGCAUAUUCGAUGAUCUUUUCAUAUGAGAGUCAGUGAGUAACAACAGGUUCAUAUUUAGGAGGAGAUUUAGGGAUUUCUAAUGCUUUGUAUGUUGGGAAAGAUAAAAGACAGUACACUGCUGGAGGCUCUUAUUUAGAAGAAGAUACAAGUGUUACUUCAAACACUAGUGGUGGUUCUUAUUAACGAGGAGAUGCAGGUGCCUCUACUUCUACUGCCUUAUAUGCUGGUAGAGAUCACCAACAAUCAAGACUCUACAAUCCAAAAAGGGACUACAAUCUGCAGUGUAGGUUUGCAAAAUAAAGGGCCACACCAUGGAAACAUGUUAUUGUGUUGUUGGACACCCACCAGACUACAAAUUCAGGAAGAAGUGUGAAAAUGCUGCUAACAGGAUAAGCAAAUGUCAAUGCUGUUGAUAAUGAUUCACUUGGCCAAACUCUUCCUACAUUUACACAAGAACAAUAUGGUCAAAUUCUCCAGUUAUUGAACAAGGAGAAUUCUGUGAUCUCAGCAGUCAAUCAAGAAACAGCUGCUAACUGGGAAGGUUAAGGGGAUUGCUAAGGAGACAGGAGGUUUAUAUUUUCUGUUGAAUAAAGAGGUUGGAGAUGGAAGCAAUAUGAAUAUAUCUAGUGCAAAGUUGAUGCAUAUAAAGACCAAUGAAGAUGAAGGCAUGUUAUGGCACAAUAGACUUGGACACCCAUCCUCUACUACCUUUAAGAAACUAAUUUCCAUCAAUGAUAGACUUGUCAAUGAUCGUGUUGUAUGUCCAUUAUCUAAGAAAACAAGUUUACCAUUUCCUAUGUCUACAACUAGAAGUAGUUCUGUAUUUGAAUCUAUACAUAUUGAUGUAUGGGGUCCACAUAAAAUCAGCUCCCAUGUUGGUUUCAAGUAUUUUCUCACUAUUGUUGAUGACUAUUCUAGAAUAACAUGGUUGUAUUUUCUUCGAGUGAAAUUUUAUGUUGUUACUGUUUUGAA
Long non-coding RNA from Solanum lycopersicum (tomato), 1776 nucleotides. RefSeq lists it as uncharacterized. Lineage: Eukaryota; Viridiplantae; Streptophyta; Magnoliopsida; Solanales; Solanaceae. The record is from RefSeq and is a predicted model, not a curated record.